Molecule: ribosomal RNA, 301 nt
Filed under: uncultured bacterium
Lineage: Bacteria
Description: partial 16S ribosomal RNA
Rfam family: Bacterial small subunit ribosomal RNA
Source: RNAcentral
CAGUCGCCGCGGUAAUACGAAGGGUGCAAGCGUUACUCGGAAUUACUGGGCGUAAGGCGUGCGUAGGUGGUGGUUUAAGUCCGUUGUGAAAGCCCUGGGCUCAACCUGGGAAUUGCAGUGGAUACUGGGUCACUAGAGUGUGGUAGAGGAUAGUGGAAUUUCCGGUGUAGCAGUGAAAUGCGUAGAGAUCGGAAGGAACAUCUGUGGCGAAGGCGACUAUCUGGGCCAACACUGACACUGAGGCACGAAAGCGUGGGGAGCAAACAGGAUUAGAUACCCCUGUAGUCCCUGUCUCUUAUAC